GCCCGUGCCUCUGUCUCUGUCUCUGUCUCUGUCUCUCUCUCUCUCAUGAAUAAAUAAAUAAAAUCGUUUAAAAAAAAAAUUCAGUGCUUUUAUGUCCCAGGCACUGUUCUAGACAUUUAGGAAACAGCAGCUAAAUGCCAAUGUCACUGCCCUCACACUGCCGCCAAAGGAGACAAUAAAUACAGGAAUUUAUGAUCUGCUAGAUGGUGGUAAAUGGCACAGAGACAACAGGGCACAGUAAGGGGAUGAGGAGGGCUUGUACCUGCCUUUCCUCUUGUCACUGGACUGCUGGGCCGGCCCCUCACUCCUUCAGAGAUCCUGUUCCCUCCUACAUGCUCAGAAGCGUCCCUCCUCUAGUGCUAGGCUCUGAGCCUUUUGGUGCCUCCCCCACUUCUCUCAGAAUAAAAGCUCAAGUCCUUAGGAGGGGCGUCACAAGGCCGUCUGUGAUCUGCUCCCUGACCUCCUAACUACUCCCUCGCCUUGCUCACUCUGCUCCAGCUGUGCAGGCCUGCUCACAGCUGGACACACCCAGCACGACCCCAGCUCACGGCCUCUGCUUUUGCUGCUGCUUCUGCUCAGAACACUCCUCCCAGCAUCCAGAUGGCUUAACCUCCAGUUCUUCAAGUGUUGGCUCAAUUGGCACGGCUGCAGACUGGAUUGUGUCCCCUCACCUCCAACUCCUAUUAAAAGCCCCCGCCCCUAAUGUGAUUGUAUUUGGAGAGGGACCUUUGGGAGGUAACUAGGCUGAGAUGUGAUCAUGAAGGUGGGGUCCUCCUGAUGGGUUCAGGGCCCUCAUGAGAGGCACCAGAUAACUCACUCUGUCUCUCUGUCCUGUGAGGGCACAGCAAGAAGACAGCCGUGUGCAAGGCAGAAAGAGCUCUCACCAGAGAUGGACCAUGCUGCCGCCCUAAUCCUGGCCUUCUAGCCUCGAGGACUGGGAGAGAGUUUCUGUUGUUGAGCCACCCAGGCUACGGUACACUGUUAGGGUUCUUAUUUCCAUCACACUGGACCCUAAGGAACGUGAGGACAGAAAAAUUUGCUUUGUUCACUUAUGUAUUUCCACAGCCUACGACAGUGCCUGGCACAUAGUGGAAGCUCAGUGUCUGCCUAGGAACACAGCUGCUGGCUCUCCACGCCUGCCUCGGCCUCCGCAGCUGCCUCUCUGGCACACCUCUCAGCCACCUGAAUCUGACUAGGGUGUGUUUUGCCCUGGACUCCAAAAACCUCUGGGACACCACAAAGAAGAGACAAUACAAAAUAGUAGUAUUGAAAACAAAACCAGACAAACAAGAACAACAAAAAACACAAAUACAGAGAACUGUUGUUUCUCAGAGGGGAGGUGGGUGUGGGGGUGCGUGGAAUAGGGGAGGAAGGCUGAAGGGCUGAAGAGGUACAAACUUCCAGCUAUAAAGUAAGUAAGUCAUGGAGAUGAAAAGUUCAGGACAGGGAAUGUAGUCAGCAAUAUUGUAAUAACAUUGUGUGUGGCAGAUGGGGACGACGCUUGCGGUGAGCACCGUGGAAUGCAUAGAAUCAUCAAAUCAAUAUGUUGUGCACCUGAAAUUAAUAUAAAAUUGUAUGUCAAUUCGAUUUCAAAAACAGAAGACUGGUAGUAUUGACGUUGGCCGUAGGGACUAGGUAACCUGAUUCUUUUGUAAGGCAAGUGGUUCCCAAGCUCUUUGCCUUCAAGAAAAUGGAAAGACCAGUUGAUUUGCCCACUAAGAGCCUGCCAUGUGAUUUGGGGGGGAUGCAAAUCUGAAGAAGUUCAGAGACGUGUGAACAUUACCAUUUAAAACAAAAUCAUAGAGGCGCGCGCACACACACACACACACACACAAGCUGCUUCCAUUCUUGUCAACUUCUCUAUGUAAACAAGGCUUCUCAGGGCUUCAUCUGUAAAAAACGAAAUACAGGAACAGAACCAAUGUCAAUUCUGUCUCGUUCCAGCAACAGGUAGUGUUUAUGCAGGGAUAUAGAACCUACGUGGGAAGGUCUCCCACUUGUAUAUGUCACUCCCAAAUCCUAUAGGCCAAAGAAUUAAAUAUCAAAAUAUAUAAUGGAUUUUAUAGUGUUUUGGUCAGUUUUCUAGUACUAAUAAUUGUAAUAUGACUCAAUCCAGGACAUUAAAAAACCCUAUGGUUACAGAAAAAAAAUUCUAAUCUUAAAACUUCAUUUGUAUAAAUAUUUUUGUUGCCUGAAAGCAUGAAAGGUGAUCUAUAAAUGACUUAAAAUAAUAUAUAUAAAACAUUAAGCUCAAUUCUUGGGGGAAAGUGAAGUAGAAAUACAUGCUCAAGAAUAAAAAAGAAAUGAUUAUAACAUUUCUGCCUAUAUAGGGACGUCUGGGUGGCUCAGUCCAUUAGGCGUCCGACUGGUGAUUUCAGCUCAGGUCAUGAGUUCAUGGGUUCAGUGGGACUGAGCCCCUCCUCGGCCUCCGUGCCCAGCGUGGAGUCUUCUUGAGAUUCUCUCUCCCUCUUCCCCUGCCCCUCUCCCACUCAGCACACAUAUGCGCGCGCACUCUCUCGAAUAAAUCUUAAAAAAAUUUCUGCCUGUAAAAUAAGACCUUGCUCAAGUAUUUUGUAUCAAAUCAUAAGGGUAUUUAGAUUCCAUUGGGGACAUUUAAAAUAAUUGAUUUAAAAGCUUUAUUUUAAGAUGUCAAUAUUGAAAACUCAAGGAAAAGUAAAUCCUUUGCAAUGUUUAAACUUAGUGGCAAAAGGAUUAAAACACCAAUUUUAAAAUGUGCAAGAGUGUACGUGGUUUUUCAAAAUCUUUUUACGCAUUUUAGGAAGUAUCCAAAAAGUAUUAUUUUCCUUUUUCCAGUGUUGCCACUCCUGAGUAUAUACAUAUUAAAAUAAGUGUUUUAAGAUAAAUUACUUUCCUUUUUUUCUUUAUAUCACAGCGCUGUCCUUAUUUUCAUUUAUUAAAAUUAUGGGUUUUGGUUUAAUUUCAGGAGAGUAAAGAAGGUAUCACAUACUAUUUACCAUAAAAGAGGGUGUUAGGUUUGAUAUGGUUGAGGGCCAUUGAUAGGUGAGGGUCUUGCAAACCAAAGACUGUUCAGCUAAAAAAAAUCAUGGAUUUCAGUAGAGUAGUGAAAAGAUCCCACCUAAGUUUUAACAGCAUGGGGCUGACUGCUACGUGGAAGUACAGUAAGGCUAGCAGGUGUGGAAGUGGGGAUACCGGUUAGAGGACUAAGGCCAUCAGGGUGGGGGACCAUGGGGGCUUGGACCAGCCGAAUAAAGAAUAUUGAAUACUGACUGAAGUGGGGCCUGGCCUGGCCU
Canis lupus familiaris (dog) is the source of this 3272-nucleotide long non-coding RNA. RefSeq lists it as uncharacterized. The transcript has 3 exons. The record is from RefSeq and is a predicted model, not a curated record. Lineage: Eukaryota; Metazoa; Chordata; Mammalia; Carnivora; Canidae.